RNAcentral lists this ribosomal RNA (154 nucleotides) under Wurfbainia compacta. Its description in RNAcentral is "5.8S ribosomal RNA". It matches the Rfam family "5.8S ribosomal RNA". Rfam says of the family: 5.8S ribosomal RNA (5.8S rRNA) is a component of the large subunit of the eukaryotic ribosome. The record is from RNAcentral. Lineage: Eukaryota; Viridiplantae; Streptophyta; Magnoliopsida; Zingiberales; Zingiberaceae. RNAcentral also lists the same sequence under 1 other name.
ACUCUCGGCAAUGGAUAUCUUGGCUCUUGCAUCGAUGAAGAACGUAGUGAAAUGCGAUACUUGGUGUGAAUUGCAGAAUCUCGUGAACCAUUGAGUCUUUGAACGCAAGUUGUGCCCGAGGCUUUGUGGCCGAGGGCACGCCUGCUUGGGCGUC